UCCUGAUAAAUAACUUCAGUUUCUUCAUAAUGAAGAUGGGUAGCAUCAUAAUGCUUGCUUUAUAACAGCUCAGGUUGCAGAUUCACACACCCUGGUUUUAAACUCCAGCCCUGGCGCAGACAUGCUGCCUGACCUUGGAAAAGUCACUUGACAUCUUUGAACCUGAGCUUGUUCAACAGAAAAAGAGAACUCAUAUCACCUUGCUCAUGGACCUGUGAUUGAUUUUGCAAGGGAUUAAACAAGGUAUGUUCCAGGUUGAAUGGCUCUCCUUCAGGUGGGCUCCUUCUAUCUUGUGGCUUCAUUUUCUUCGGGGGAAUCUCCCAGUGCCAAUCUCUGAAAAGGCUGCAAGACUCUGAAACAGAUCUCCCUAGAAAUCCCACCUGGAAGGACAGUAAGUAGACCUUUGACAUUUAAGAAGUAUAUGCCCUAAGAUUUCUGCAGAUCCUGAAAUUCAUCACUACGGCAGAAUCAUACAUCUUAUGGUGAGUCAAUGAUGACUAAUGUAUCAGAGGCAUUUACUGAUCAUUGAAUAUCAAUGUGUUCCCUCCACUUUUUCCACUACCUUUAAGUUAGACUGGAUGGUGUGAACACAUUAUCUGGCCAAUGGCUAUGAUUGGAAGUCAUGUGUCUCUGUGAUGGGCUGAGCACUAAAGAACUACAUUGAAACUCUCUCACUUUCUCUUUUGCUGUCAUGGAGAAAGGGAUCAUGAAAUCACAGGAGGGAAAAUAGCUUAGAUCUCUGCGUCACCGAAAAUAAAUUCCUUACAGAGCCAAUGACCCCACAAUAAAUACUAUGUGAGUGAAAAAUAAACUUUUAUGCCUGUUACUGCCUCAAAGCUAGCCUAACCUGACUAAUCCAAAUACCGUAAUAAAAACUAUCCUAUGCAACAUUUCAUAAUAAACAGCACAAAUUCGUAAGCCUGUUUGUGAGAACACUCCUCUGUGUCUACUGAUGCCAUUGUAACAAAAUAGUAAUGUGGGGGGUAGCCAGGUUUCUACCAGAUCUGAUUCCAUGUAUGGAGAAAAUUUUGAUAUGAUUUGGCUUUGUGUUCCACCCAAAUCUCAUCUCGAAUUGUAAUCCUCGUGUGUCAAGGGAGGGGCCUGGUGGGAGGUGACUGGAUCAUGUGGGUGGUUUCUCACUGCUGUGUUCAUGAUACUGAGUGAGUUCCCAUGAAAUCUGAUAGUUUAAAAGUGUGUGGAAGUUCCCCCACCACCUCCUGCUGCUACGUAAGACAUGCUUUUCUUCCUCUUUGCCUUCUGCCAUGAUUGUAAGUUUCCUCAGGCCUCC
This is a non-coding RNA of Macaca mulatta (Rhesus monkey), 1288 nucleotides long. The record is from RefSeq and is a predicted model, not a curated record. NCBI's taxonomy places the organism in Eukaryota, Metazoa, Chordata, Mammalia, Primates, Cercopithecidae.